UUUCCGUAGGUGAACCUGCGGAAGGAUCAUUGUCGAAACGUCGAGAGAACGAGCGAACCGGUCAUCGGAUCCUAGCGGGGAUCGUGGGGGUGUGCACACGCCUCUCCCACCUCCGUGCGUGUCUCUCAUCCACCCUACGCGUGCGUAGUGUGGGUUGGGAUGCGCGAUUCUCAACAAACCCUCGACGCGGGCCGCGUCAAGGAUUGUCUUUACCAGAACUACAGGGCGUGACAUCGCGUGCGUUGCUCCAUGUCCCUGUCGUAACAAUAUAAUGAUGACUCUCGGCAACGGAUAUCUUGGCUCUCGCAUCGAUGAAGAACGUAGCGAAAUGCGAUACUUGGUGUGAAUUGCAGAAUCCCGUGAACCAUCGAGUCUUUGAACGCAAGUUGCGCCCGGAGCCGUCAGGCCGAGGGCACGCCUGCCUGGGCGUCGCACGUACCAUCGCCCCCACCCUCAUCUAUCGUGGAUGCGCGGCUUGGGGAGUUGGAUGCUGGCCAUCCGUGUGGCGGAAUCACGGUUGGCUUGAUGUUCGCAUGGCGGCGCGCGUCCGGUCACGACGGGUGGUGAUCGUUCCGAAGAUUCCUGUGUACGUUGUGAUUGCGCGCGAUCGUUCCUUCCGAUCGCCCCGGCGGAGUAAGGGCACGCUCUCGUGCCCGCACUCCAAUUGUACGGACCCCAGGUCAGGCGAGGCACCCGUGAUUUAA
RNAcentral lists this ribosomal RNA (704 nucleotides) under Najas indica. RNAcentral's name for it is "eukaryotic LSU rRNA". The stretch from base 277 to 432 matches the Rfam family "5.8S ribosomal RNA". The record is from RNAcentral. Lineage: Eukaryota; Viridiplantae; Streptophyta; Magnoliopsida; Alismatales; Hydrocharitaceae.